Molecule: long non-coding RNA, 454 nt
Organism: Lutra lutra (Eurasian river otter)
Lineage: Eukaryota; Metazoa; Chordata; Mammalia; Carnivora; Mustelidae
Exons: 3
Source: RefSeq, a predicted model, not a curated record
AAUGUCCCAGGCACUUCCAGAAGCAAAGGCUUUAAGGAAAUGGGCUUAUUCCAUUAUACAGUAAUGAAAGAUAACAUCUGAAGAGCAUUUUUGCAGCUUGCAAAAUACAAAGAACUGAACUCUCUUGCUAUCCAAAUGGGCUCCAGAAGACAGACUCUCAGACAGACGGAUAUCGUAGAUGGAAGGAGAUACCAAAAAAAGCCGGAUUGACUCAAUGCAGUGUGGACGUCGUAUGAAGCCUAAUUUGAAGAACAUAACAAAAAGAACAGAAUUUGGAGACAAUCAUGGAACACUAAACAUAAAAGAGAUAUCCUAUGAUAUGAAGGAAGGAUUGUGACUUUAUUUGUUGUGAUGGUGAUAUUAUGGUUAUAUAUUUUUUAAAUCACUGUGUAUUAGAGAUAUAUACAGGUGUAUUCACAGGUGAAUGAUAUGGUGUUUGGAAUUUCCUUUAGAG